This 1995-nucleotide ribosomal RNA is filed under the name Triticum aestivum (bread wheat). Its description in RNAcentral is "partial small subunit ribosomal RNA". Lineage: Eukaryota; Viridiplantae; Streptophyta; Magnoliopsida; Poales; Poaceae. The record is from RNAcentral.
AUGGAGCAGCUCCGGCAGCUCGGCGAGGUGGUGGGCAGCAUCAACGCGCUCAUGGCGUUCGAGUCCGACCUCCGCAUCAACCCUCGCCAGUGCCGCCUCCUCGCCGAAACCUGCGCGCACGCGCUGGACGCCGUCACCGGCAAUGUCCGCGCCCACCUUCGCUUCGACGAGCGCGGCACCAAGUGGCGCCCCCUGGAGUCCCCGCUCCGAGAGCUCCACCGCGCGCUCCGCGACGCCGAGGGCUACGUCCGGCAGUGCCUCGACCCGCGCGGCAGCUGGUGGGCCCGCGCCGCGGCCAUGGCGCACGGCACGGAGUGCGUCGAGCACCACCUCCACAACAUCCUGUGGUGCGUCUCCGUCGCCAUCGAUGCUAUCGAGGCCGCCGGGGAGAUCGCCGGCUCCGAGGCGGAUGAUCAUGCGCGGACGCGGCUUCUGCUCGCCAACAGGUACGACAGGGACAUGCUUGAGCCAAAGCUGUUCCAGCUCGCGCUCGGCAAGCGCUACUUGGUAUCCCGAGAACUGGUCGUUCGGAUGGACGCGGCGUGGAAGGAGGACAGGUGGGCGCUGUCGCAGCUGCUCGACGAAAUGACGGGCCCGGCGGCACCGAAGCGCCUGACCAAGAACGAGCACCGCCUCGCCGAGGUCCUCGCCGCGCCGAGGGGGAGGCUGCACCCGGCGUCCAUUCUGCUUGGAGGCGACUACAGCGUCCGCAGGAGGUUAGGCGGCCGCCUCAAGGAGGUGCAAUGGAUGGGGGAAAGCUUCGCGAUGAAGCAUUUCAUCGGGGACGGCGAGGCCGUCGGCGCCGAGAUCGAGCUCCUGGCGUCGGUGGCGCACCCGAACGUCGCGCACGCCACCUACUGCUUCCACGACGAGGAGAGGAAGGAGUACUUUGUCCUCAUGGACCAGCUCAUGGCCAAGGACCUGGGGAGCUACGUCAAGGAGGUGAGCUGCCCGCGGCGGCGGACACCGUUCCCUGUCAUCGUCGCCAUCGACAUCAUGCUGCAGAUCGCGCGCGGGAUGGAGUACCUGCACGCCAAGAGAAUAUACCACGGCGAGCUGAACCCGUCCAAUGUGCUCGUGAGGCCGCGGCAACCCGACGGCGGCUCCGUUCAGGUCAAGGUCACCGGGUUCGGGCAGUCCGGCAUCGCAACGGGCGCCAAUGUCAACGGCGACGAUAACGCCUGCAUCUGGUACGCGCCUGAGGUGCUCAAGCCGGAGGUCGCGGAUGCAGGGUCCAGGCGCACCGAGAAGGCCGACGUGUACAGCUUCGCCAUGAUCUGCUUCGAGCUCCUGACCGGCAAGGUCCCGUUCGAGGACAACCACCUGCAGGGCGACAAGACAAGCAAGAACAUCCGCGCCGGCGAGCGGCCGCUGUUCCCGUUCCAGACGCCCAAGUACCUGACCGCCCUCACCAAGCGGUGCUGGCACGCCGACCCGGAGCAGCGGCCGGGGUUCUCCUCCGUCUGCCGCGUCCUCCGGUACGUGAAGCGGUUCCUGGUCAUGAACCCGGAGCAGCAGCAGCAGGCUGGGCAGGGCGACGAGUCCAUCGUGCCACCCGUGGACUACCUGGACGUGGAGAUGCAGCUGCUGAGGAGGCUCCCGGCGUGGCAGCGAGGUGAGGGCGCCCGCGUGUCGGACGUGCCGUUCCAGAUGUUCGCGUACAAGGUGUUGGAGAGGGAGAAGACCGCAGGCGUGGUGCAGGCCAAGGACAAGGCCUCCGACUCGGGCAGCGAAGGGAACUCGCUGUACGGCGAUGAGAACGGCGUCGGGGCAAUGUCGCCGGACCACCCUUCCUCGGCGGCGUCGAACGGCGCCAUGAGGCCGCUGCCGGACAGCAGCGAUGGCAAGAAGCCGCCGUCGGCGAAGAAGGCGGACGGCAAGGCGGCCAGGCAACCAGUUGCAGGGCAUCCGCAGAAGGUGAAACCGGGCAACCCGGCAAGGACUCCGCAGGCGCCAAGACGGACGCUCGGAGUGAAGACCGACGGCGUCCCGUAG